UACGUAGGGUGCAAGCGUUAAUCGGAAUUACUGGGCGUAAAGCGUGCGCAGGCGGUUCUAUAAGACAGAUGUGAAAUCCCCGGGCUCAACCUGGGAACUGCAUUUGUGACUGUAGAGCUGGAGUACGGCAGAGGGGGAUGGAAUUCCGCGUGUAGCAGUGAAAUGCGUAGAUAUGCGGAGGAACACCGAUGGCGAAGGCAAUCCCCUGGGCCAAGACUGACGCUCAUGCACGAAAGCGUGGGGAGCAAACAGG
RNAcentral lists this ribosomal RNA (253 nucleotides) under uncultured bacterium. RNAcentral's name for it is "partial 16S ribosomal RNA". It matches the Rfam family "Bacterial small subunit ribosomal RNA", at positions 524 to 776 of the family's 1533-position model. The record is from RNAcentral.